GACGAACGCUGGCGGCGUGCUUAACACAUGCAAGUCGAACGGAAAGGCCCUGCUUUUGUGGGGUGCUCGAGUGGCGAACGUGUGAGUAACACGUGAGUAACCUGCCCUUGACUUUGGAUAACUUCAGGAAACUGGGGCUAAUACCGGAUAGGAGCUCCUGCUGCAUGGUGGGGGUUGGAAAGUUUCGGCGGUUGGGGAUGGACUCGCGGCUUAUCAGCUUGUUGGUGGGGUAGUGGCUUACCAAGGCGUUGACGGGUAGCCGGCCUGAGAGGGUGACCGGCCACAUUGGGACUGAGAUACGGCCCAGACUCCUACGGGAGGCAGCAGUGGGGAAUAUUGCACGAUGGGCGGAAGCCUGAUGCAGCAACGCCGCGUGCGGGAUGACGGCCUUCGGGUUGUAAACCGCUUUCGCCUGUGACGAAGCGUGAGUGACGGUAAUGGGUAAAGAAGCACCGGCUAACUACGUG
RNAcentral lists this ribosomal RNA (467 nucleotides) under uncultured bacterium. RNAcentral describes it as "partial 16S ribosomal RNA". It matches the Rfam family "Bacterial small subunit ribosomal RNA", at positions 28 to 507 of the family's 1533-position model. The record is from RNAcentral.